Molecule: transfer RNA, 73 nt
Filed under: Camelus bactrianus (Bactrian camel)
Lineage: Eukaryota; Metazoa; Chordata; Mammalia; Artiodactyla; Camelidae
Also listed under: 2 other names
Rfam family: tRNA
About the family: Transfer RNA (tRNA) molecules are approximately 80 nucleotides in length.
Source: Rfam by way of RNAcentral
GAGGGUAUAGCUCAAGUGGUAGAGCACAUGUUUAGCAUGCGUGAGGUCCUGGGUUCAAUCCCCAGUACCUCCU